Molecule: long non-coding RNA, 531 nt
Organism: Colossoma macropomum (tambaqui)
Lineage: Eukaryota; Metazoa; Chordata; Actinopteri; Characiformes; Serrasalmidae
Exons: 3
Source: RefSeq, a predicted model, not a curated record
UUUUAAAGUUAGUGAGCACUCUUGUGGCUUUCCUGUCCUUCUGACAGCAAGGAGGUGCCCGGCUGUUGUUCGUUCACGUCACUCUUGCUCUCAUUCCCUUCUUCCUUCCUGCCGAGCACCGAUACCAGACCUAGCCACAAUUCAAACUAUACAGCGGUAUUCAAAUAUUCCAAAGUGUUUUCUACGUAUACAACCGAUUUUUGGAGCGUGGCGAAUCUGGUGACUUGAAAGGCACUGUAUAUCAGUCUUUCAAUCUUAUCUGCAAAGGGCCAGUGUGAUGGCAAGUUUUCUUCCAACAAAUCAGAAGACCAUGUGUUUGAAGACUGAGAUGGACUGAUUUAACAAGUGAAAUCCUUACCAUUCACAGAGAGAGAGAGAGAGAAUGAAAAAGAAUGAAAGAAUGCCUCUAUGUUAGAGGGGCACUGAGAGUGUGUGUGUGCAUGUGCGUUCUUGCGCCAGAAAGAGGUAGAGAGGGAUGGGGGAGGGGAAGAGAGAGGGAGAGAGAGAGAAAGAGAGAGAGAGAGUGAGAGA